This 501-nucleotide ribosomal RNA is filed under the name uncultured bacterium. RNAcentral describes it as "partial 16S ribosomal RNA". It matches the Rfam family "Bacterial small subunit ribosomal RNA", at positions 30 to 523 of the family's 1533-position model. The record is from RNAcentral.
AUUGAACGCUGGCGGCAGGCUUAACACAUGCAAGUCGAGCGGGGGAAGGUAGCUUGCUACCGGACCUAGCGGCGGACGGGUGAGUAAUGCUUAGGAAUCUGCCUAUUAGUGGGGGACAACAUCUCGAAAGGGAUGCUAAUACCGCAUACGUCCUACGAGAGAAAGCAGGGGAUCUUCGGACCUUGCGCUAAUAGAUGAGCCUAAGUCGGAUUAGCUAGUUGGUGAGGUAAAGGCCUACCAAGGCGACGAUCUGUAGCGGGUCUGAGAGGAUGAUCCGCCACACUGGGACUGAGACACGGCCCAGACUCCUACGGGAGGCAGCAGUGGGGAAUAUUGGACAAUGGGGGGAGCCCUGAUCCAGCCAUGCCGCGUGUGUGAAGAAGGCCUUAUGGUUGUAAAGCACUUUAAGCGAGGAGGAGGCUACUCUAGUUAAUACCUAGGGAUAGUGGACGUUACUCGCAGAAUAAGCACCGGCUAACUCUGUGCCAGCAGCCGCCGCAG